This 183-nucleotide ribosomal RNA is filed under the name Triticum aestivum (bread wheat). Its description in RNAcentral is "partial small subunit ribosomal RNA". The record is from RNAcentral. Lineage: Eukaryota; Viridiplantae; Streptophyta; Magnoliopsida; Poales; Poaceae.
AUGGGACGUCAGUGGUCCACCAGCAAGCUCGUUCUGAGCCUGGACACAGUACAUUGGAAUCCUGAAGCACCACCACGAACACUAUCGCGCGUGUGCCUGCGGUGCGGUAAGACACCACCCUGUAGUGCCAGCAUCCAACUCCGGCGUGUCAGCUUACUUAUCCUCAUCAAGCCACAACCUUGA